UGAUGAAGAAAGAUAGCAAAGAUGG
This 25-nucleotide small nuclear RNA is filed under the name Arabidopsis thaliana (thale cress). Its description in RNAcentral is "snRNA_11192". The record is from RNAcentral. Lineage: Eukaryota; Viridiplantae; Streptophyta; Magnoliopsida; Brassicales; Brassicaceae.